RNAcentral lists this ribosomal RNA (790 nucleotides) under uncultured bacterium. Its description in RNAcentral is "bacterial SSU rRNA". It matches the Rfam family "Bacterial small subunit ribosomal RNA", at positions 8 to 796 of the family's 1533-position model. The record is from RNAcentral.
AGAGUUUGAUCAUGGCUCAGGACGAACGCUGGCGGCGUGCUUAACACAUGCAAGUGGAGCGACGAACCAGGGCUUGCCCUGGGGCAGAGCCGCGAACGGGUGAGUAACACGUGGGUUACCUGCCUCGAUGACCGGGACAACCCGAGGAAACUCGGGCUAAUACCGGAUGUGCCCGCAAGGGGAAAAGGAAGCUUCGGCCUCCGCAUCGAGAUGGGCCCGCGGCCCAUUAGCUUGUUGGUUGGGGUAACGGCCCACCAAGGCUUCGAUGGGUAGCUGGUCUGAGAGGACGAUCAGCCACACUGGGACUGAGACACGGCCCAGACUCCUACGGGAGGCAGCAGUGGGGAAUCUUGCGCAAUGCGCGAAAGCGUGACGCAGCAACGCCGCGUGGGGGAAGAAGGCUUUCGGGUUGUAAACCCCUUUCAGUUGGGACGAAGCUCUGACGGUGAAUAGCCGGCCGGAGUGACGGUACCUUCACAAGAAGCACCGGCUAACUACGUGCCAGCAGCCGCGGUAAUACGUAGGGUGCAAGCGUUGUCCGGAAUUAUUGGGCGUAAAGAGCGUGUAGGCGGCCCGAUUAGUCCGCUGUGAAAGUCCAGGGCUCAACCCUGGAAUGCCGGUGGAUACUGUCGGGCUAGAGUCCGGAAGGGGCGAGUGGAAUUCCUGGUGUAGCGGUGAAAUGCGCAGAUAUCAGGAGGAACACCAAUGGCGAAGGCAGCUCGCUGGGACGUGACUGACGCUGAGACGCGAAAGCGUGGGGAGCAAACAGGAUUAGAUACCCUAGUAGUCC